UUCGGCAGCACAUAUACUAAAAAAAAAAAAAUUGGAACGACGCAGAGAAGAUUAGCAUGGCCCUGUGCAAGGAUGACAUGCACAUUCGUGAAGCGUUCCAUGUUAAA
Small nuclear RNA from Globicephala melas (long-finned pilot whale), 107 nucleotides. The record is from RefSeq and is a predicted model, not a curated record. NCBI's taxonomy places the organism in Eukaryota, Metazoa, Chordata, Mammalia, Artiodactyla, Delphinidae.